GAUGAACGCUGGCGGCGUGCCUAAUACAUGCAAGUAGAACGCUGAAGGAAGGAGCUUGCUCUUUCCGGAUGAGUUGCGCACGGGUGAGUAACGCGUAGGUAACCUGCCUGGUAGCGGGGGAUAACUAUUGGAAACGAUAGCUAAUACCGCAUAACAGUAGAUGUUGCAUGAUAUCUACUUAAAAGGUGCAAUUGCACCACUACCAGAUGGACCUGCGUUGUAUUAGCUAGUUGGUGAGGUAACGGCUCACCAAGGCGACGAUACAUAGCCGACCUGAGAGGGUGAUCGGCCACACUGGGACGGAGACACGGCCCAGACUCCUACGGGAGGCAGCAGUAGGGAAUCUUCGGCAAUGGACGGAAGUCUGACCGAGCAACGCCGCGUGAGUGAAGAAGGUUUUCGGAUCGUAAAGCUCUGUUGUAAGAGAAGAACGAGUGUGAGAGUGGAAAGUUCACACUGUGACGGUAUCUUACCAGAAAGGGACGGCUAACUACGUG
This 497-nucleotide ribosomal RNA is filed under the name uncultured bacterium. Its description in RNAcentral is "partial 16S ribosomal RNA". It matches the Rfam family "Bacterial small subunit ribosomal RNA", at positions 28 to 507 of the family's 1533-position model. The record is from RNAcentral.